This 247-nucleotide ribosomal RNA is filed under the name uncultured bacterium. RNAcentral describes it as "partial 16S ribosomal RNA". It matches the Rfam family "Bacterial small subunit ribosomal RNA", at positions 118 to 347 of the family's 1533-position model. The record is from RNAcentral.
UGGGUAACCUGCCUCAAAGAGGGGAAUAGCCUCCCGAAAGGGAGAUUAAUACCGCAUAAUAUGUUUAAGUCGCAUGACUUUAACAUCAAAGGAUUUUCUUUUAGAACUUCCACUUUGAGAUGGACCCGCGGCGCAUUAGCUAGUUGGUGAGGUAAUGGCUCACCAAGGCGACGACGGGUAGCCGGCCUGAGAGGGUGACCGGCCACACUGGGACUGAGACACGGCCCAGACCUCCGUACGGGAGNAG